Xenopus laevis (African clawed frog) is the source of this 1789-nucleotide long non-coding RNA. RefSeq lists it as uncharacterized. The record is from RefSeq and is a predicted model, not a curated record. The transcript has 4 exons. Lineage: Eukaryota; Metazoa; Chordata; Amphibia; Anura; Pipidae.
UAUUGCCCACCACAAGGUGGGCAUAUCGGAGGGAGAUCCACUCGUUUGGCGACAUCGCCAAACAAGCGGAUCUAUCCAUGUAUGGCCACCUUUACUUUCUUUGGACAAUUUAUCUUUUCUACAGGAGCCAUGCUGGAAUCAGGAGGAACAAUAAACCGUGCAACAGGCUUUGUUUUGAGUUCAAAGCCUCGCGUUUCACCUAGUCUUCUUGUUGGAAAGGAAAUUACUGCUCUUGCCCUCCUGCUUGUUUGUGAGAUGUGUGUCUGGUAUAUAUUGGGCUACGUAACUACAUUUGUUCUUUCCAGGCUGCAUGAAGGUGAGCGCACGAGACUGGCGAUACUGGGCUGUUGAAGUCACCUAAUGGGAAAUGGAACUGUGGAAAAUGGAAAGGGAAGGGCCUGUAAUUUAUGGUGAAGCAAUUUGUCCGCUUGGCCCUGUGGCAUUAUAAAUGUUCAACUAUUCUGUGCACCUCCAUUUCUUGGCAUGUUGGGUGUUGCUGUGUACCCCUACAUGUAAUGUACAGAGGUAGAUUAUGCCCACGGUGCUAUGUCUUCGGUGCCAUUCCCUCUCUUGGGCUGGUUCUAUCCUCAAUCACUGGGACACUUUGAGCCAGUAUUUGACUCUAACUUUAGAGCUACAUCUGUCUCUGCAACUCACCGGUGUGGGGGACUUUUUAGGGUUGUUUCUCACUGAGUUAAUGUCAGAAUGUAGUUGCAUUGUAGCAAGUCACUGCGAUUUCAUAGCCUAAAAUAAGUGUCCCCCUAAUAUUUCGUCUAUUUAUUGCAGGCUUUACAGAUGAGAAGAUUUAUGUUUCUAAAUUCCUGAAAUCCUAAACCUCUGACUUCUGAACACACUCCGGAGAAUGGAGCCAUGCUGGAAUCACAUGGAACAAUAAACUGUGACACUUUCUUUUCAUUCACCUAGUCUUCUUGUUGGACAGGAAAGGAAAUUACCAUUCUUGCCCUCCUUGUUGAUGAGAUGCGUGUCUGGUAUAUAUUGGCCUGUGUGACUACAUUCAUUCUUUCCUGACUGCUUGAAGGAGCCAUGCUGGAAUCACGUGGAACAAUAAACUGUGAUAGGCUUUCUUGUGGGUUCCAAGUCUCUCGUUUCAACUAGUCUUCUGACUGACCGCUCUUGCCCACCUCCUUGUUGCUGAGAUGAUCGUCUGGUAUAUAUUGGGCUGCAUGACUAAGUUUGUUCUUUACAGACUGCAUGGAGAUGAGAAGAUUUGGGUUGCUAAAUGCCUGAAAUCCUAAACCUCUGACUUCUGAACAGCCUCCAGAGUGGUUAGGUUGUGUAAUAUUUAAAGCUGUGCCUUAUCUCAGGAUCUUAGAGCUGAUCUGGAUUAAAUUUGUGUAUGUAAUUUCAAUAUUUUUUAUAUACCCCCUAAAUUAAAAAAUAUAUAUAUUAGUCUUUUAUUGCUAUGAUAAAUGCAGUGAUCCUUUAAAACUGUAGGCAUUUGUGAUUCUUAGUGACUGUAUGCCAACUGAAUUUUCUUUUCUAAAUGUCUGCUCACUCCUUAUGACACCCCUCCCCUUGUCUGCAAAGUGUUUAGUGACAGAUAAUGUUCCUGUAUUCCUUCUGCACCAAACAUUAAAGUAUUUCUACUCCCAACAGUAGUGGAUUAUGUUUUUGUUUUUUUUCCAACAACCCCAUGGGUAAUCAGGAUUGCUCUCACCAGAGGAACAACGUGUAGCAAAUGGCGAGACGUGGCAAGAGAAAAUAGUAUAAAAAUGGACCGUCAUUUUCUUUUUCUGGAUUGUAAAACCAGAAAUAAAAGAUCUGUAAA